AUUUUCCCUCGUUAUGGCACCUGUCCUCAGCCAAAAAAUACAUUUUGAUGGCAGUUGGAGAGAAGACAAUGAUACGAGGAAAUUGCAACUAUCUGAGCAAUAUAAAGAAAUCCUGAAAAGAAUGACUCGAAAACCUGAGUCACGCCAAUUCUUUGGUCUUAUGGGGAUAAGAGGCUCUGGUAGGCUAACUACUUUCUAGUAAUAAUUCAAUAUUUUUAAUAUAUUCUAUUUCUAUAAAAGCUCAUCUGUAUUUUUGCUUUUUCCCUUCCACUCUUUACAAAGUCCCAGGUAACAAGACCAGGUAAGUGUUGCCCGCAUUACACUGUUGGUACUGACCAUUUCAACUCAAUUUUACUGAGGCUACUAU
This 367-nucleotide long non-coding RNA is filed under the name Oncorhynchus kisutch (coho salmon). Its description in RNAcentral is "lncRNA (ENSOKIG00005025316.1)". The record is from RNAcentral. Lineage: Eukaryota; Metazoa; Chordata; Actinopteri; Salmoniformes; Salmonidae.